This 838-nucleotide ribosomal RNA is filed under the name Miridae sp. South Africa 687. RNAcentral's name for it is "eukaryotic LSU rRNA". It matches the Rfam family "Eukaryotic large subunit ribosomal RNA", at positions 1097 to 1861 of the family's 3401-position model. Lineage: Eukaryota; Metazoa; Arthropoda; Insecta; Hemiptera; Miridae. The record is from RNAcentral.
GAAGCCGGGGGCUUGGAUCAGAGUGCCAAGUGGGCCAAUUUUGGUAAGCAGAACUGGCGCUGUGGGAUGAACCAAACGCCGAGUUAAGGCGCCUCAAUCGACGCUCAUGUGAAACCAUGAAAGGCGUUGGUUGCUUAAGACAGCAGGACGGUGGCCAUGGAAGUCGGAAUCCGCCAAGGAGUGUGUAACAACUCACCUGCCGAAGCAACUAGCCCUGAAAAUGGAUGGCGCUGUAGCGUCGUGCCUAUACUCGGCCGUCAACGGCAAAGAUGGUCGGGCUUCGGUUCGACUGUUACGCCUUGACGAGUAGGAGGGCCGCGGCGACGUGCGUAGAAGGGUCUGGGCGUGAGCCUGCCUGGAGCCGUCGUCGGUGCAGAUCUUGGUGGUAGUAGCAAAUACUCCAGCGAGGCCCUGGAGGACUGAUGUGGAGAAGGGUUUCUUGUGAACAGCUGUUGCACAAGAGUCAGUCGGUCCUAAGCCCUAGGAGAAAUCCGAAGCGAUGGGUUGCCGUUCAAAUGACGUUUGUUGGCACCCGUUCGGGCGAAAGGGAAUCCGGUUCCUAUUCCGGAACCUGGCAGUGGAACCGUUCCAAUUCGGGCCCUCUGAGGACUCGUCAGGGCAACCUGAAUAGACCCGGAGACGCCGACAGGAGGUUGGGAGAGAGUUGUCUCUUCUCUAUAAGCGAUCGAGUUCCCUGGAAACUUCUAGCAAGGAGAUAGGGUUUGGAUCGCGAAGAGCACUGCAGUUACGGCAGUGUCCCAAUCUUCCUCUCGGACCUUGAAAAUCCGGGUGAGGGCCACGAGGAACACCACGCCAGACCGUACCCAUAUCCGCAGCA